ACAAUGUUUCUGAAAUUUGCGUGGUCUACAUUUUGAGCUGCUUUUGUGCUGAAAUUGUAUCUUUGUGUGGAAGUCAGAGGCACAGAUGAUUUAUCCUCCCAGGGAGCAAAGGUCAAGGUUUAUGUGCUGAACUCUUUUGUUAAGAGGCAGCGAUUCCAUCUUAACGAGGAUUCAUCCUGAAAAAGGACUUGAAAAAGAUGAAGGAGGGAAUCAUCUGUUUACAUUUCACAGCCUUUUUAUUCUUGAAUGUUUAUUGUUUGUCAUUUGCAGGAAAAUUGUACCUGGUCAAAAUGUCUUUUACGGAUUACUUUGCAUUAUAGUGACAAAAGGAGACUGCGCGAGAGAGCUUUGAUUGCAAAUCUGCAGAAUAUGAGGAGUCACAUCUGACUGUUUGUGUUGAUUUGUUUGUGUUUGGGCACAAGCUGUGUGUGCAUGCAUGUGUUGUAUGUGUGCGAGUGUGUGUUGGUGGAGCUGAAUGGAUGCUUUGGGCUUUUCUUCAUGAAGGAGGGGUGUGUUGGAACGUUGAAUUUGGUCAUGCAGCUGACGCUUUACCCCCUAACACACUCCAAACAGAGCGGACAGAUGGCCGGCCCUCAGGAAGGGCUCGGGGCGUUGGAUUUGCUCUCAGACCGUGGGAAAGUCUUUGGCUGACUUCACCUGCUCAGGGAGCUGAUGUGACCGGACUGAACAGCAAAGAAAGAGGCAAGAAAAGAAAACUAACGUGGACGUCGUCGGUGUGUGAGGGCCAGAAUUUGACCGUCUCUUACUCUAGAAAGAAAAAGAAAAGCAAAGGAGGACCGAUUAAAAAGAUUUACUACUGAUUUUUUUUUUUUUCAUAAAAGGAAAACAUGCCUUGUAAAAUAUGAUUUUUUCAGUGUGUGCUCAGGGAGUCAGGGUGGAUGGGUUCAUUCGAUCUUUCGCAUGUGUCUUUGUAAGCCUAAUUGGAAACAGUUGAUCCUCAGUUUGUGGGACAUUAGACAUGAUGUUUGGCCAUCUCUCUCUCUGCUUUUGAUUAUCUCUCAGUCUCAUGGAGACGGCCAUGUGCAGGCUUUGAUUUAUUGUUAUUAAAAGAAUAGGGCCGUUUGUCAGGCUUUCAUCUGAUUGAUGCUAAGAUGUGUGCACACUUCUAAUUCAUACUCAUAAGAAACCACGAGGCCGUGCGUCUAAUAGGUCAUUAAUUAUCCGUGUGAACGUGCAAUAAAGUUGGAUGAAUUAGUGGCGCUGAAACAUUUGGUUUUGUUCAUUUCAUGUCGGCUGUGGAUGUUGGAAUUUAUGAAGAUGCCACUUAAGUGUGCGCUGACAAGUGUGAAAGUCCAUUUUAUGACAUACAAAUGAAUAAAAAAA
Molecule: non-coding RNA, 1344 nt
Organism: Xyrichtys novacula (pearly razorfish)
Lineage: Eukaryota; Metazoa; Chordata; Actinopteri; Labriformes; Labridae
Source: the annotation of a GenBank genome assembly